ACGAUGAAGAGUUUGAUCCUGGCUCAGGAUGAACGCUAGCGGCAGGCCUAACACAUGCAAGUCGAGGGGUAGAGGGAGCUUGCUUCCUUGAGAC
This 94-nucleotide ribosomal RNA is filed under the name Ignavibacteriota bacterium. RNAcentral's name for it is "Ignavibacteriae bacterium (activated sludge metagenome) partial 16S ribosomal RNA". It matches the Rfam family "Bacterial small subunit ribosomal RNA", at positions 1 to 94 of the family's 1533-position model. The record is from RNAcentral. Lineage: Bacteria; Pseudomonadati; Ignavibacteriota.